This 495-nucleotide ribosomal RNA is filed under the name uncultured bacterium. RNAcentral describes it as "partial 16S ribosomal RNA". It matches the Rfam family "Bacterial small subunit ribosomal RNA", at positions 28 to 507 of the family's 1533-position model. The record is from RNAcentral.
GACGAACGCUGGCGGCGUGCCUAAUACAUGCAAGUCGAACGCUGGAGGAGGAGCUUGCUUCUCUGGAUGAGUUGCGAACGGGUGAGUAACGCGUAGGUAACCUGCCUGGUAGCGGGGGAUAACUAUUGGAAACGAUAGCUAAUACCGCAUAAUAUUGACUAUUGCAUGAUAGUCAGUUGAAAGGUGCAACUGCACCACUACCAGAUGGACCUGCGUUGUAUUAGCUAGUUGGUGGGGUAACGGCUCACCAAGGCGACGAUACAUAGCCGACCUGAGAGGGUGAUCGGCCACACUGGGACUGAGACACGGCCCAGACUCCUACGGGAGGCAGCAGUAGGGAAUCUUCGGCAAUGGACGGAAGUCUGACCGAGCAACGCCGCGUGAGUGAAGAAGGUUUUCGGAUCGUAAAGCUCUGUUGUAAGAGAAGAACGAGUGUGAGAGUGGAAAGCUCACACUGUGACGGUAUCUUACCAGAAAGGGACGGCUAACUACGUG